Molecule: ribosomal RNA, 497 nt
Filed under: uncultured bacterium
Lineage: Bacteria
Description: partial 16S ribosomal RNA
Rfam family: Bacterial small subunit ribosomal RNA
Source: RNAcentral
GAUGAACGCUGGCGGCGUGCCUAAUACAUGCAAGUCGAGCGAACAGAUGAGGAGCUUGCUCCUCUUACGUUAGCGGCGGACGGGUGAGUAACACGUGGAUAACCUACCUAUAAGACUGGGAUAACUUCGGGAAACCGGAGCUAAUACCGGAUAAUAUAUUGAACCGCAUGGUUCAAUAGUGAAAGACGGUUUUGCUGUCACUUAUAGAUGGAUCCGCGCCGCAUUAGCUAGUUGGUAAGGUAACGGCUUACCAAGGCAACGAUGCGUAGCCGACCUGCGAGAGUGAUCGGCCGCCCGGGAACUGGGACAGGGACCAGACGACUAAGGGAGGCACCAGUAGGGAAUCUUACGCAAUGGGCGAAAGCCUGACGGAGCAACGCCGCGUGAGUGAUGAAGGUCUUCGGAUCGUAAAACUCUGUUAUUAGGGAAGAACAAAUGUGUAAGUAACUAUGCACGUCUUGACGGUACCUAAUCAGAAAGCCACGGCUAACUACGUG